Molecule: transfer RNA, 66 nt
Filed under: Gennadas parvus
Lineage: Eukaryota; Metazoa; Arthropoda; Malacostraca; Decapoda; Benthesicymidae
Description: tRNA-Tyr
Rfam family: tRNA
About the family: Transfer RNA (tRNA) molecules are approximately 80 nucleotides in length. Their secondary structure includes four short double-helical elements and three loops (D, anti-codon, and T loops). Further hydrogen bonds mediate the characteristic L-shaped molecular structure. tRNAs have two regions of fundamental functional importance: the anti-codon, which is responsible for specific mRNA codon recognition, and the 3' end, to which the tRNAs corresponding amino acid is attached (by aminoacyl-tRNA synthetases). tRNAs cope with the degeneracy of the genetic code in two manners: having more than one tRNA (with a specific anti-codon) for a particular amino acid; and 'wobble' base-pairing, i.e. permitting non-standard base-pairing at the 3rd anti-codon position.
Source: RNAcentral
GAUAGUGUGGCUGAAACUAUAGGCGAUAGACUGUAAAUCUAUAUAUGGAGUAUAAUCCCUCUAUCA